This 77-nucleotide transfer RNA is filed under the name Candidatus Roizmanbacteria bacterium CG_4_9_14_0_2_um_filter_38_17. Its description in RNAcentral is "tRNA-Arg". It matches the Rfam family "tRNA". From Rfam's summary of the family: Transfer RNA (tRNA) molecules are approximately 80 nucleotides in length. Their secondary structure includes four short double-helical elements and three loops (D, anti-codon, and T loops). The record is from RNAcentral. Lineage: Bacteria; Candidatus Roizmaniibacteriota. RNAcentral also lists the same sequence under 1 other name.
GCGCCUGUAGCUCAGUGGAUUAGAGCGCGUCCUUGCGGAGGAUGAGGUCGGAGGUUCGAAUCCUCUCAGGCGCACCA